CGAGAACGUUCACUGGAUUCUAUUUUUUUUAUGCUGUUAUGGUGCAGCCGAUGCAGAUGAGGCAGUCCAUGACAUCAAUCAUUUGCAGGAGGUUUCAUUCAUAGCAUAGGUGUUGACGCAUGUAAUGCAUCUUUUAAAAACCAAUUCUAAUGAAAUAUUAGGUAAUAGACUCACACAUUCACCUAGAAAAAUGAAUUUCCUCAUUUGAUCAAAUGUUUACUAGAAUUUUUGAAAUGCCAGACAACUUGGAUAACACUAUAAAUAAGUUUGGACGUAUCUACGCAAUAUGCUUCCAUAUACUACAUAAUAUAAACUACGUUGUUUACUAACAAAAAUGAAGUCAUUCUGAGGUCCAAGAACAUUUAAUAUGCGUUAUUACGCACCUAUAAUAUAUAAAACUAAUAACAUACAGAUUACAGAGUCAGAGAAAAAAUGUCGAAAAGUUAUCUCUUGAAAUUGAUUAUAUUUCUUACUCAUAAUGAUAAAUAUGUAAUACUUAUUAUUUCACAAUAAUGACAAAACAGUUUUAAGUGUUAUAAUUUUAUUGAUGGGUGCAUUUAGUGCUGGUAUGUAUGCGGCUUUGUCUUUUUUAAUGCACCAUUGUUUAUGUAUGCUAAUUUGAAAAGAAAAAACAAAAUCGCACUUUGUUUUGAUAAGUCUAAUGUCUACUGUCUAGUCAGCACUGAAGUGAAUCAUAUUGACAUAUGCAUUUCAAAUUAUGGAUAAUUAUUUUUAACUCAAUAUAAUGGGGUCCAAAUGAAAAAUUUAAAAACAAUACAUCAUUUGGAUUUCUCCAUAAUUAACUAAUGUAAUAAAAUAAUCAACUCAAGACAAAAUAUAAGUUAUUAUUAA
This 852-nucleotide long non-coding RNA is filed under the name Chelonus insularis. RNAcentral describes it as "uncharacterized LOC118072778, transcript variant X2". The record is from RNAcentral. Lineage: Eukaryota; Metazoa; Arthropoda; Insecta; Hymenoptera; Braconidae.